GUUGUUAUGGUGUAAAACACAUUAUAUUUUCAUUGUAAAGCUAAAGGUCUAAUUCCUUUUAACAACA
RNAcentral lists this transfer RNA (67 nucleotides) under Typhlatya pearsei. RNAcentral's name for it is "tRNA-Glu". It matches the Rfam family "tRNA". Rfam says of the family: Transfer RNA (tRNA) molecules are approximately 80 nucleotides in length. Their secondary structure includes four short double-helical elements and three loops (D, anti-codon, and T loops). Lineage: Eukaryota; Metazoa; Arthropoda; Malacostraca; Decapoda; Atyidae. The record is from RNAcentral.